ACGCUGGCGGCAUGCUUUACACAUGCAAGUCGGACGGCAGCACAGAGAAGCUUGCUUCUUGGGUGGCGAGUGGCGAACGGGUGAGUAACAUAUCGGAACGUACCGAGUAGUGGGGGAUAACUGAUCGAAAGAUCAGCUAAUACCGCAUACGUCUUGAGAGGGAAAGCAGGGGACCUUCGGGCCUUGCGCUAUUCGAGCGGCCGAUAUCUGAUUAGCUAGUUGGUGGGGUAAAGGCCUACCAAGGCGACGAUCAGUAGCGGGUCUGAGAGGAUGAUCCGCCACACUGGGACUGAGACACGGCCCAGACUCCUACGGGAGGCAGCAGUGGGGAAUUCUGGACAAUGGGCGCAAGCCUGAUCCAGCCAUGCCGCGUGUCUGAAGAAGGCCUUCGGGUUGUAAAGGACUUUUGUCAGGGAAGAAAAGGCUGUUGCUAAUAUCAGCGGCUGAUGACGGUACCUGAAGAAUAAGCACCGGCUAACUACGUGCCAGCAGCCGCGGUAAUACGUAGGGUGCGAGCGUUAAUCGGAAUUACUGGGCGUAAAGCGAGCGCAGACGGUUACUUAAGCAGGAUGUGAAAUCCCCGGGCUCAACCUGGAACUGCGUUCUGAACUGGGUGACUAGAGUGUGUCAGAGGGAGGUAGAAUUCCACGUGUAGCAGUGAAAUGCGUAGAGAUGUGGAGGAAUACCGAUGGCGAAGGCAGCCUCCUGGGAUAACACUGACGUUCAUGCUCGAAAGCGUGGGUAGCAAACAGGAUUAGAUACCCUGGUAGUCCACGCCCUAAACGAUGUCAAUUAGCUGUUGGGCAACUUGAUUGUUCAGUAGCGUAGCUAACGCGUGAAAUUGACCGCCUGGGGAGUACGGUCGCAAGAUUAAAACUCAAAGGAAUUGACGGGGACCCGCACAAGCGGUGGAUGAUGU
Molecule: ribosomal RNA, 919 nt
Filed under: uncultured bacterium
Lineage: Bacteria
Description: bacterial SSU rRNA
Rfam family: Bacterial small subunit ribosomal RNA
Source: RNAcentral